AACGAACGCUGGCGGCAGGCCUAACACAUGCAAGUCGAACGCCGUAGCAAUACGGAGUGGCAGACGGGUGAGUAACGCGUGGGAACAUACCCUCCGGUUCGGAAUAACUCAGGGAAACUUGAGCUAAUACCGGAUACGUCCAAGGUUUUAAUCGGCCUUGGAGAAAGAUUUAUCGCUGGAGGAUUGGCCCGCGUCUGAUUAGCUUGUUGGUGAGGUAAUGGCUCACCAAGGCGACGAUCAGUAGCUGGUCUGAGAGGAUGAUCAGCCACAUUGGGGACUGAGACACGGCCCAAACUCCUACGGGAGGCAGCAGUGGGGAAUAUUGGACAAUGGGCGAAAGCCUGAUCCAGCCAUGCCGCGUGAGUGAUGAAGGCCUUAGGGUGUAAAGCUCUUUUACCCGGGAAGAUAAUGACGGUACCGGGAGAAUAAGCCCCGGCUAACUUCGUGCCAGCAGCCGCGGU
This 461-nucleotide ribosomal RNA is filed under the name uncultured bacterium. RNAcentral's name for it is "bacterial SSU rRNA". It matches the Rfam family "Bacterial small subunit ribosomal RNA", at positions 29 to 521 of the family's 1533-position model. The record is from RNAcentral.